Molecule: ribosomal RNA, 468 nt
Filed under: uncultured bacterium
Lineage: Bacteria
Description: bacterial SSU rRNA
Rfam family: Bacterial small subunit ribosomal RNA
Source: RNAcentral
AGAGUUUGAUUAUGGCUCAGAGCGAACGCUGGCGGCAGGCUUAACACAUGCAAGUCGAGCGGGCGUAGCAAUACGUCAGCGGCAGACGGGUGAGUAACGCGUGGGAACGUACCUUUUGGUUCGGAACAACACAGGGAAACUUGUGCUAAUACCGGAUAAGCCCUUACGGGGAAAGAUUUAUCGCCGAAAGAUCGGCCCGCGUCUGAUUAGCUAGUUGGUGAGGUAACGGCUCACCAAGGCGACGAUCAGUAGCUGGUCUGAGAGGAUGAUCAGCCACAUUGGGACUGAGACACGGCCCAAACUCCUACGGGAGGCAGCAGUGGGGAAUAUUGGACAAUGGGCGCAAGCCUGAUUCCCAGCCAUGCCGCGUGAGUGAUGAAGGCCCUAGGGUUGUAAAGCUCUUUUGUGCGGGAAGAUAAUGACGGUACCGCAAGAAUAAGCCCCGGCUAACUUCGUGCCAGCCGCGGC